CCAGACUCCUACGGGAGGCAGCAGUGGGGAAUAUUGCACAAUGGGGGAAACCCUGAUGCAGCGACGCCGCGUGAGCGAAGAAGUACCUCGGUAUGUAAAGCUCUAUCAGCAGGGAAGAAGAUGACGGUACCUGACUAAGAAGCUCCGGCUAAAUACGUGCCAGCAGCCGCGGUAAUACGUAGGGGGCGAGCGUUAUCCGGAUUUACUGGGUGUAAAGGGAGCGUAGACGGCGAAGCAAGCCUGGAGUGAAAGCCCGGGGCUCAACCCCGGGACUGCUUUGGAAACUGUGCGGCUAGAGUGUGGGAGAGGUAGGUGGAAUUCCUGGUGUAGCGGUGAAAUGCGUAGAUAUCAGGAGGAACACCAGUGGCGAAGGCGGCUUGCUGGACGGUAACUGACGUUGAGGCUCGAAAGCGUGGGGAGCAAACAGGAUUAGAUACCCGCGUA
Molecule: ribosomal RNA, 444 nt
Filed under: uncultured bacterium
Lineage: Bacteria
Description: partial 16S ribosomal RNA
Rfam family: Bacterial small subunit ribosomal RNA
Source: RNAcentral